Oryzias melastigma (Indian medaka) is the source of this 645-nucleotide long non-coding RNA. RefSeq lists it as uncharacterized. The transcript is spliced from 3 exons. The record is from RefSeq and is a predicted model, not a curated record. NCBI's taxonomy places the organism in Eukaryota, Metazoa, Chordata, Actinopteri, Beloniformes, Adrianichthyidae.
ACAUUCAAUAUACCAAAUAGAUCUUGCGGCAAAGGAUACUGGAGUUUCUGCUUCCUCUAACUCGUCCUCACGGGGUUCAGCUCAUGGCUUCACUGGGAGUCGUUUGGAGCCACAGAAAGAGCAAAAGAAAACACAAAAACCAAGUUUUGCCUGUAGCCAGCGAGCCCCGUAUGACCAUUGUGGAGCUGGUGAAGUCGUUGCACACCAUGCAGACGGAGACCAUCCUGCAUUUAGUCAAAGAAGUAGUGAAGAAACCCCAUCAGAUCAAAGGAGAUCAGGUACCUCGAUGUUUGCACAGAACAGAAGAGCCAUGUCAAAAUGCAGCAGAACUGGCUGAACAGUCUUUAUGGACUGGAAUAUGGACGAUUGCUCAAACAUUUCCUCAUUUUUAUUCCUAAGUGGCUAUAAUGCAGCAGUUGCUGACAUGUUUCUUCUCUGUUGGGUUUUUAAUAUGUCCAGUUCUGUGAUUAGAGCUACAAAUUAUUGAUUCAAUGAGGAGCAAAGCGUGUUUAGUCUUUUUUAUGGAUGCCUAGUUCUCAUUUUCCAUUCCUUUGCUCUUCUAACCCUCAGAAGUCUACACUGGUGGAUAUCCCCAUGUUGCAGUUCAGUUAUGCGUAUAUCCAAAGCAUUCCAGCUCAAGCACUG